Molecule: ribosomal RNA, 433 nt
Filed under: uncultured bacterium
Lineage: Bacteria
Description: partial 16S ribosomal RNA
Rfam family: Bacterial small subunit ribosomal RNA
Source: RNAcentral
AACGAACGCUGGCGGCAUGCCUAACACAUGCAAGUCGAACGAGACCUUCGGGUCUAGUGGCGCACGGGUGCGUAACGCGUGGGAACCUGCCCUUAGGUUCGGAAUAACUCCCCGAAAGGGGUGCUAAUACCGGAUAAUGUCUUCGGACCAAAGAUUUAUCGCCUUUGGAUGGGCCCGCGUUGGAUUAGCUAGUUGGUAGGGUAAAAGCCUACCAAGGCGACGAUCCAUAGCUGGUCUGAGAGGAUGAUCAGCCACACUGGGACUGAGACACGGCCCAGACUCCUACGGGAGGCAGCAGUGGGGAAUAUUGGAAAAUGGGCGAAAGCCUGAUCCAGCAAUGCCGCGUGAGUGAUGAAGUCCUUAGGGUUGUAAAGCUCUUUUACCCGGGAUGAUAAUGACAGUACCGGGAGAAUAAGCUCCGGCUAACUCCGUG